Molecule: transfer RNA, 70 nt
Filed under: Calomicrus pinicola
Lineage: Eukaryota; Metazoa; Arthropoda; Insecta; Coleoptera; Chrysomelidae
Description: tRNA-Lys
Source: RNAcentral
CAUUGAAUGACUGAAAGUAAGUAAUGGAAUUUUAAACCAUUUAUAAUAUAGUAACGUUUAUUUUUAAUGA